GCAUGUACUUACAAUUAAUUGCUGUGGCCCAACUUCUCUUUAUCAUAAACCCCCACUUAAACCCCACUUCCUAACUCAUUCCACUCCCACUUCCCACCUCAUUCAACUCACUAUGGAGUGAACCAGCCAAUCAAGAAUUGCUGCAGAGAGAAUUCAUGGAAUCUUCGUCUCCUCUUCUCUUGUUGUUUCUGGGCAUCUUUUGCUUUUCUGAGUUCAUGUCCUGUGCUCAAUUGCCCACGGAAGCUGAAGGUGCCAGAAGCUCUUUGUUCGAAGUAACCUGCCAUUUAUAACGACCUUCAAGUUCAAUGCAAAAUGUCUAUCAAGUCUUCUGUCCUGGUGAUGGGCCCCUCAUCCAAGAGAAUCAGAUCAUCCCUUUUCCUUGAUUUUGUUGUCCAUCUAACGCAAAAAUUAGACAUUGUCGAGUUUCUGAGGCAAGUUCAUGGAUAUACAAAAAAUUUUAACUCGCAGACAUUGUUGAUUUGCUCUUCUUGUGCCUCUUUCUAAUGAUGAUUUUGUGCACAUUGCUUGUUAGUAUUGAAGAAUUUGAAGAAAAAUAUGAAGGAAUUUUUUUAUUUUA
This is a long non-coding RNA of Vitis vinifera (wine grape), 577 nucleotides long. RefSeq lists it as uncharacterized. NCBI's taxonomy places the organism in Eukaryota, Viridiplantae, Streptophyta, Magnoliopsida, Vitales, Vitaceae. The transcript has 2 exons. The record is from RefSeq and is a predicted model, not a curated record.